Myotis lucifugus (little brown bat) is the source of this 31-nucleotide non-coding RNA. Lineage: Eukaryota; Metazoa; Chordata; Mammalia; Chiroptera; Vespertilionidae. The record is from Rfam.
UAAUUAUCGGAAGCAGUGCCUUCCAUAAUUA